RNAcentral lists this ribosomal RNA (492 nucleotides) under uncultured bacterium. Its description in RNAcentral is "partial 16S ribosomal RNA". It matches the Rfam family "Bacterial small subunit ribosomal RNA", at positions 29 to 507 of the family's 1533-position model. The record is from RNAcentral.
AGUGAACGCUGGCGGUAGGCCUAACACAUGCAAGUCGAACGGCAGCACAGUAAGAGCUUGCUCUUACGGGUGGCGAGUGGCGGACGGGUGAGGAAUACAUCGGAAUCUACUUUUUCGUGGGGGAUAACGUAGGGAAACUUACGCUAAUACCGCAUACGACCUACGGGUGAAAGUAGGGGAUCUUCGGACCUUGCGCGAUUGAAUGAGCCGAUGUCGGGUUAGCUAGUUGGCGGGGUAAAGGCCCACCAAGGCGAGGAUCCGUAGCUGGUCUGAGAGGAUGAUCAGCCACACUGGAACUGAGACACGGUCCAGACUCCUACGGGAGGCAGCAGUGGGGAAUAUUGGACAAUGGGCGCAAGCCUGAUCCAGCCAUACCGCGUGGGUGAAGAAGGCCUUCGGGUUGUAAAGCCCUUUUGUUGGGAAAGAAAAGCAGCAGGUUAAUACCCCGCUGUUCUGACGGUACCCAAAGAAUAAGCACCGGCUAACUUCGUG